Musa acuminata subsp. malaccensis (wild Malaysian banana) is the source of this 1989-nucleotide RNA transcript. RefSeq lists it as uncharacterized. NCBI's taxonomy places the organism in Eukaryota, Viridiplantae, Streptophyta, Magnoliopsida, Zingiberales, Musaceae. The record is from RefSeq and is a predicted model, not a curated record.
GUUAUAUUCCAAACGGCAACGGGCUUCGAAUAAACUCGAUCGACGCCUCUUCGCCUGUGGGGGUGUGCGAAACCGAUCGCUGGUGCGGCGAAGGUGAUAUCAGGAUCUCACAAGCACAUUCUAGUUUGUUGUUUGCUAAAGAUUGAUGGCUGCUCAUAAAAUUGCACAUGCUACCCUCAAGGGUCCUAGUGUUGUCAAGGAGAUCUGCAUUGGCCUUACACUGGGAUUAUUCGCUGGUGGUCUGUGGAAGAUGUACCACUGGAAUGAGCAGAGGAGAACAAGAGCUUUUUAUGACAUGCUAGAGAAGGGUGAAAUUAGUGUUGUUGUUGCAGAAGAAUAAUCAUCCUAGUCUCAUUCCUUCAGAUAUAAAUGGAGACCUGCAUUCUCAUCCUGGAAGCUCAAGUACAUUUUCAGAUCAAAUUUGCAGCUUUUUACUGCUGGAUGCAAAAUAAGUUUGGAUGAUUGUUGAGACCUACUACAAUGCGCAUCGUCGCAUGCGGCCUGCGAAACCCGCCGCUUCGGCCGCAGGUGAGGAGAGCGGGAAGCCGUUCCCUCCGACAUCCCCGCCAGGCUCUACAAGUUCCCAGAGCUACCAGCAGCUAUUGUGGACUUCGAUGAAGGUGCAUGCAUUAACCAUCUUAAACAAUCCAAGAAGCUAAUCUAGGAGAUGCUGGUGAGUCAAAAUCUGCUAUCACUGUUGUAGGGGUUGAAAUUGUUUGUUCUUCGUGUUCCAUUAAUAUCCUGAUAUCAAGUGCUGUAACACCUAAAUUAGCCUAGGAAGAAAGGUGCUAUGAAUCUGAAACAAAACUUUCUGCAGUCGAGUCACGUCUGCAACUAUUGACAUAUGGCACUCGAGAUUUGAAGACAGCCAUGGGCCACCUAUCAUGCGUUAUCUAAGACAAAUCUAUUUCGGAUGCUGUGUCGAGGUGAACAAGUCUACACGUCUUCCCUGAGGAGAACCAGGUCUACAUGCAAGCUUGAGUGAUAUGUCCAAGAGCAUCACUUUCACAAAUGAUGUGUCGAAACAUGCUUCACUCCGUGAACAGCAACUAAAUAUUCCUGAUGAUGACCUGCAGAAACACAAAUCUUGUUCGUGCCGGAUAUGAGAUGCUUUUUAACUCUUACUAAUUAACACACCUGUGAUCAUAAUCUUCAGCAAGUCGACACAGUACUCUACCGAUGGUAGAGGGAGAAGGAGUGCAGUGGGAUGAGAACAAAAAGAAGGGGGAGGAGAAAAGAGGGGUCGCCAUCGUGCGUCGCCGAGGGAGAGUCGAGCGGUGGCCACCACCACCACCUUCACCGCCACCUGAGCUCAGGAAAAGGGUCGUAGGUUUUUCUGGUACCCAAAUAAGUGCAUUGAAGCGUUGACCGCUGUCAGCUGGGGGCGAGUGGCGAUGAGCGCUCCUCUCUGUUCUUUGCAGACUCGCUCUCAGGUGGCGUCCGUCCUUGCCCACAGGCUUGGGGAGAGAGACGAUGAAGGGAAAGGAGAAAUGAUGGCAGCUUUCCAGGGAUUCCAGCAGUUCCAUCCUUGUACGUGGUGUGAAGUAUGAACCGAAAGCGAUUCCGGCUUGUUCAUACUAGUUUGGACAGUCAGACACUCUGCCAUGGUUGCUGCUGCUGCUGCUGCUGCAGCUGCAGGGACGACCGCCACAGCCCAAGAUCAAGUUAUCUUUAAAUUUGAUGAUGAAGCCCAUCAUGUCAGCUCGAGCCGCCUGCAUGACAAAAGAGCCGUCAAUUACCAAAGUAAAAUCAUACUGAUCCUAUAAGAACAGUACAUCUCCUACAGUUGCUUACAUCCGAUGUCCCUCAGAUCUGUCCCUAUGCUUACAGUAGUCACUCACGUGGAACCAAACCUUGUAGAAAAGUUGGUUUGACCUAACUGUUGUCAUACUUAGCCACAACGACCUAACUGUGGCUCACCCAAAACACCCAUAGCCUGAUAGUUAUUUUGUUCAGGUGUUGUUGGUCUUCCAAAAGUCAUGUAUCACU